Molecule: long non-coding RNA, 1758 nt
Organism: Sardina pilchardus (European sardine)
Lineage: Eukaryota; Metazoa; Chordata; Actinopteri; Clupeiformes; Clupeidae
Exons: 5
Source: RefSeq, a predicted model, not a curated record
CCCAGCACCCACUAAACAUUAGACCUUUGGUGGACGUGCAGAUCAUGUCUUUAUUGCGUCCGUCAUUCCAAGACCAAGUCUGGACAACUGCACAAUGUGCAAAUUAGGUCCGCUAUAUGUCUAAUUAGAUAAUCUCUGUUGGACAUUAUACAGAGGUCUCUGGACGUCUCUUUGUUGAUGACUAGUGUUUUUGUGUGUGUGUGUGUGUGUGUGUGUGUGUGUGUGUGUGUGUGUGUGUGUGUGUGUGUGUGUGUGUGUGUGUUUGUGUGUUUGUGUUUAUCUCUCUCAGUCCUGCUGUAAACCGCUGGGGUACCUGAGCUACAUCUCUGGAAGUGAGCAUUCGUACAGAGACGCUACGGAGUACUAUGCAGAGGCUUGGAGGUACAGUUACAAGGUCAACCCAAGCCUAGGUGAGUACGGACUCCACCCAAGCAGAGGUGAGUGACAGUCCACCCCAGCACCCACUAAACAUUAGACGUUUGGUGGACGUGCAGAUCAUGUCUUUAUUGCGUCCGUCAUUCCAAGACCAAUUCUGGACGACUGCACAAUGUGCAAACUAGGUCCGCUAUAUGUCUAACUAGGUAACCUCUGUUGGACAUUAUACAGAGGUCUCUGGACGUCUCUUUGUUGAUGACUAGUGUUUUUGUGUGUGUGUGUUUGUGUGUUUGUGUUUAUGUCUCUCAGUCCUGCUGUAAACCGCUGGGGUACCUGAGCUACAAUCUCUGGAAGUGAGCAUUCGUACAGAGACGCUACGGAGUACUACGCAGAGGCUUGGAGUCCUGCUGUAAACCGCUGGAGUACCUGAGCUACAUCUCUGAAAGUGAGCAUUCGUAGAGACACGCUACUGAGUACUACGCAGAGGCCUGGAAAUACAGCUUCAAGGUCAACCCCAGCAUUGGUACGGAUAGAAACCAUCCGACCAUAGUCCUGCUGUACAAUGCUGGAGUAGCCUGAGCUACAGUUCUGAAGCGCUGGAGUACUUGUGCUCUGAAAGUGUCUCUGAAAGUUGUCAGCUGUUGGCUCAACAGCAAAGCAUGGUGUGACAUGAUGUGUCUUGUGUUCCUGUGACCAGAAGGCUCAACAAUGCAUCAUUCUAACUGACCAGAUGGAUUGUUUCAUCUUUUCUGCUCAUCGGAGGGGUUUUCAGAUUGUCUGUCUGGCCAGAGGAGGACCACUACACUGGCAAUGACUGGGGUUUGCCUUAGGGCCCACCAACCAUAGCGGUCUCCGCCCAAACCAACCAGCUGUCAACCGCUGCGCUGCCGCUGGCUUGUGGAUCUAAAGUUUUGUCAUGAUAGCUUGUUUUUGUUUUGUACACAACCCUAUAGAUGAUCGCUUAUUCCAAGGAAGACACACACAAAUAAAUACAAACUACUUUAAGGGACACAAAGGUAUGGAAGGACUCCAGCCACUGAUAUUGGACAUAUGGUGUAAUUUUCUUCUGUAUCUAUCUAAUGCAAAACUAUACUUGCAACAAUUUCUUAUGUCAUGUGAAAUAAUAAGAUGAAAACCUCACUCAUAUGCAUUAGCUCUUGCAUAAAAUCUUUGCAAUAAUGGACCAUGUUUACGACAGACUCAUUCCGACCCUAGGCCAACCUGGGGCCAAUACACUGAUGAUUGCCUGGGGCCAUAUCAGGAGCGCGCCUGUCCCUGCUUACCUUUUUUAUACUUUUGCUCAUUCAGGGAUGCAAACAGCUCGCUUUUCGGCGCCUCCCGCUUUUUUCACGUAAUUUCGGGUGACUUGUGUGAAUCGUGCAG